AUGCCUACAUCUCUGCUUCAAGAUGGAUCCCACCAUGGACUGAGGGAAGUGACAGGCUAUGAAGCUGCCCGUCCUGCUUCGCGUCGGCUGCGUUGGCUUGGUGUUGGCGUGCAACGCGGUGAUGUGGACGGUCUUCGCGAAAGCCCUGCGACUCUCCUCCUCCUCAGCCGCUGCCUCUGUGACGAUGACGGCCUCCAACUUCAUCUCCUCGGCCAUGCUGGGCAGACUUCUCUUCGGGGAGACGUGGACGCCUCUGUGGUGGGUCGGCCUCGCCGUGACGCUCUGUGGCCUCGUGCUGCUGCACACAGCUGCACCCCGGAUGGCGUGGCUUCCAGUGGAGAAGAAGGAGGCAUGAUGACUGCCAGAGGGGGCACGGUGCCAUGCCACCCCUCGCCAGCCUAUCUCCAGCUAUGGACCUGGUGACCCUGCUCACCUGCUGGUCUACCAACUUGCAAAGUCAUCCUGGCUGCCUCUUUCCCGGCAGUGGUGUGGUGGCAGUGACAGCCUCGGAGGGAGCUGGUCCACUCUGAGUCAGUAUUGUGGAAAUCGGGACCAGAGGCUUAUCAGCCACUCCUCCUCUUCACACUCUGCGGCUGCAGAGCUUUCCCAGUUCAGGGAAGGCUGAAAGUAAACAUGGUGGCUGUAGAAGGUGCCUGUGCAUCAGUACUUUUCCAUAAGAGGACCCUUCCCGAAAUAGAAAAGCAAUCAGAAGUAGACUGGAGGCAGCUGAUAUUUCUUCUCUGCUGUUCCUGACUUUCUGCCUCUUGAAAUAACCCUGUACCUGCCCUAAAGUCCUGUUGCCCGUAAGGCUGUGGAGCCUCUCGAUUCCUUCUGCUUCCUUUAUCAGUCACAUAGACCUUUUAAUUUGCCAUUUGUAUCUGAGGCCUAUAAUUGCCACUUACCCAUUCCUGAUGUGUUACUCACUGUAAAGUUGUUGCUCUUUCCUUUAAAAUUAACCAGGAUGGGUUUUGAUCACCAUUCCUGAUUUGAUCACCAUUCCUGGUUUUUAUAUUUCCUGGACUGUAUUUUUUGGAGAAUACAGCCAGCUGCAUGUGAAUAGGCAGCUGCUUUCACUGAGGUUGUCCAUGUUCAGCACGUUCCAUCUUCCCCUGCCCCUGCUUGCUUAAGUUGACAAUUACGUUAACAUUUGGUAAAAUUGGGUUUCUCAGUUAUCAUUUUGUUACACCUCUGGAUGAUGCUGAUUUGCAUUUGUGCAAUGUGAUCAACCAGAUCACUGGUACCCAUAGGUGUGCUACCUUCAGGGCCAGGGAUGACUGUGUGGUCAGGAUGAGAUGCCUGCUAACGCGCUCUGCGUGUCAGGAAUCGUCAUUUCUAAGGUAUCGACUUCUUUCCCAUGCCCACACAUGUUGUUUUACUGGGGGAAUUUUUUAGUUGCAAUCCUAAUCGAGAAAUAAAAUGAUGCCUAGAAAUGCA
This 1434-nucleotide long non-coding RNA is filed under the name Calidris pugnax (ruff). RNAcentral's name for it is "lncRNA (ENSCPUG00000009060.1)". Lineage: Eukaryota; Metazoa; Chordata; Aves; Charadriiformes; Scolopacidae. The record is from RNAcentral.